UUUCUCUUUUCAAUUCUACUAAUCAAUCCUUCAACAUUAUUAUUUUCUUCAACACUUAUUACAGGAAUAAUCAUCGCCAUUUCAUCUCCCUCUUGAUUUACAAGAUGAAUUGGGCUAGAAUUAAACCUCCUCUCCUUUAUCCCAUUAAUUUUUUCAAAACAAAAUACAUUUUCCUCAGAAGCGGCUCUAAAGUACUUUUUAGUCCAAGCUAUAGGAUCAGCUGUGCUAUUAGCAGCAGCCUCUACACUCCUAAUCAUAACUAACUCCUCAAAAGUAAUUAUCCUAUCUGCCCUUCUACUGAAAAUAGGGGCAGCCCCACUUCACUUUUGACUACCCCCAAUUAUACAAGGCAUCUCUUGAUCACGAUGUAUUAUUUUAAUAACAAUCCAAAAAAUUGCCCCCAUAGCAAUAGUAACUUAUACUCUCUCUCCCAGAACACUCUUAAUUAUCAGAAGAUCCUCGAUAAUUUCAGCUAUCUUAGGGGGUCUAGGAGGGCUAAAUCAAACCAUAAUACGCAAAAUCAUGGCCUAUUCUUCUAUUAGUCACAUGGGGUGACUUCUAGCAGCCAUUUCACUUAACUCAACCAUUUGAAUAAACUAUUUACUUAUCUACAGGAUUAUUUCAACAUCUUUAGCAAUUAUAAUAGACCAAAAUCAACUCUUCCACAUUAAGCAGCUUAUAUCUGUCUCUUAUAGGCAAGUAAGUAAAAUUACAGUAUUCUUAAGGCUAUUCUCUCUCGGAGGUCUCCCCCCGUUUUUAGGAUUCUUACCAAAACUAAGAGUAAUUAAAGAACUCACAGCUCAAACUUCGAUCUUAUGAGUCAGGGUAUUAACAAUAAGAGCACUCAUUACACUAUUCUUCUAUACUCGAAUCAGAAUCACAGCGCUAACAUUAAAAUCACCUAAAAUAUUAACACUAAGAUCCUCUCAAUCUCAAAAGAUGGCUUUAUUUUCCCUAAUCAACCUUACACCAAUUCUCUAUCCCCUAGCUGUUAUAAUUCAGUUCUAAGGUUUUAAGUUAACUAAACUAGUAGCCUUCAAAGUUCCCAAAAAGAGUAUUAAUCUCUUAAACCUUAUAAGCUAAGGUACAAUUACAUCUUCAGGAUUGCAGCCUGACGUCUUAUCUAAACUACAUAGCCUGGGCAGAGAGACAAAUCUCAUAACUAGAUUUACAAUCUAUCACCUUUAUCGGCCACCUACCCCACGCAACGGUGGCUUUUUUCAACAAACCAUAAAGACAUUGGAACUUUAUAUUUUAUCUUCGGAGCUUGAGCAGGAAUAGUAGGCACAUCCUUAAGACUACUAAUUCGAGCAGAAUUAGGUCAACCAGGAAGAUUGAUUGGAAACGAUCAGAUCUAUAAUGUUAUUGUUACCGCCCACGCUUUCGUAAUAAUUUUCUUUAUAGUAAUACCUAUUAUAAUUGGAGGCUUCGGUAAUUGAUUGGUUCCUCUAAUAUUAGGAGCGCCAGACAUAGCAUUCCCACGAAUAAAUAACAUAAGAUUUUGACUUCUACCUCCAUCACUUACCUUAUUACUGUCAAGAGGAAUAGUAGAAAGAGGAGUAGGCACAGGAUGAACUGUCUACCCCCCACUAGCUGCAGGAACUGCCCACGCAGGAGCCUCAGUAGACUUAGGAAUCUUCUCCUUACACUUAGCAGGGGUAUCUUCAAUCUUAGGAGCCGUUAAUUUUAUUACUACCGUAAUUAACAUGCGAUCACCAGGAAUGACCAUAGACCGACUACCUCUAUUCGUAUGAGCCGUGUUCUUAACGGCAAUUCUUCUUCUUCUAUCACUUCCAGUGUUAGCAGGAGCUAUUACUAUACUUUUAACAGACCGAAAUCUAAACACAUCAUUCUUUGACCCAGCCGGAGGUGGUGAUCCAAUUCUCUACCAACACCUAUUUUGAUUUUUCGGCCACCCAGAAGUCUACAUUUUAAUUCUACCAGCCUUUGGAAUAAUUUCUCAUAUUGUGAGGCAAGAAUCAGGUAAAAAAGAAUCAUUUGGCACCCUAGGCAUAGUUUAUGCCAUAAUAGCAAUUGGAGUUUUAGGCUUCGUAGUAUGAGCUCACCACAUAUUUACAGU
This is an RNA transcript of Macrobrachium nipponense, 2080 nucleotides long. It is a transcript of the gene named NADH-ubiquinone oxidoreductase chain 2-like, with no coding region annotated. The record is from RefSeq and is a predicted model, not a curated record. NCBI's taxonomy places the organism in Eukaryota, Metazoa, Arthropoda, Malacostraca, Decapoda, Palaemonidae. The transcript has a single exon.